AGUGAACGCUGGCGGUAGGCCUAACACAUGCAAGUCGAACGGCAGCACAGGAGAGCUUGCUCUCUGGGUGGCGAGUGGCAGACGGGUGAGGAAUACAUCGGAAUCUACUCUGUCGUGGGGGAUAACGUAGGGAAACUUACGCUAAUACCGCAUACGACCUACGGGUGAAAGCAGGGGAUCUUCGGACCUUGCGCGAUUGAAUGAGCCGAUGUCGGAUUAGCUAGUUGGCGGGGUAAAGGCCCACCAAGGCGACGAUCCGUAGCUGGUCUGAGAGGAUGAUCAGCCACACUGGAACUGAGACACGGUCCAGACUCCUACGGGAGGCAGCAGUGGUGAAUAUUGGACAAUGGGCGCAAGCCUGAUCCAGCCAUACCGCGUGGGUGAAGAAGGCCUUCGGGUUGUAAAGCCCUUUUGUUGGGAAAGAAAUCCAGCUGGCUAAUACCCGGUUGGGAUGACGGUACCCAAAGAAUAAGCACCGGCUAACUUCGUGCCAGCCGCCGCGGUAA
Molecule: ribosomal RNA, 506 nt
Filed under: uncultured bacterium
Lineage: Bacteria
Description: partial 16S ribosomal RNA
Rfam family: Bacterial small subunit ribosomal RNA
Source: RNAcentral